This 427-nucleotide ribosomal RNA is filed under the name uncultured prokaryote. Its description in RNAcentral is "bacterial SSU rRNA". It matches the Rfam family "Bacterial small subunit ribosomal RNA", at positions 355 to 774 of the family's 1533-position model. The record is from RNAcentral.
UGGGGAAUAUUGGACAAUGGGCGAAAGCCUGAUCCAGCCAUGCCGCGUGUGUGAAGAAGGUCUUCGGAUUGUAAAGCACUUUAAGUUGGGAGGAAGGGCCGUUACCUAAUACGUGAUGGUUUUGACGUUACCGACAGAAUAAGCACCGGCUAACUCUGUGCCAGCAGCCGCGGUAAUACAGAGGGUGCAAGCGUUAAUCGGAAUUACUGGGCGUAAAGCGCGCGUAGGUGGUUUGUUAAGUUGGAUGUGAAAUCCCCGGGCUCAACCUGGGAACUGCAUUCAAAACUGACUGACUAGAGUAUGGUAGAGGUUGGUGGAAUUUCCUGUGUAGCGGUGAAAGGCGUAGAUAUAGGAAGGAACACCAGUGGCGAAGGCGACCACCUGGACUGAUACUGACACUGAGGUGCGAAAGCGUGGGGAGCAAACA